Molecule: ribosomal RNA, 870 nt
Filed under: Triticum aestivum (bread wheat)
Lineage: Eukaryota; Viridiplantae; Streptophyta; Magnoliopsida; Poales; Poaceae
Description: partial small subunit ribosomal RNA
Source: RNAcentral
AUGGAGAGAUAUAGGGAGCAAAAGAAGGACUUGCAUAUGGUGUUCAUUGACUUGGAGAAGGCCUAUGAUAAGAUACCGCGGAAUGUCAUGAGGUGGGCCUUGGAGAAACACAAAGUCCCAGCAAAGUACAUUACGCUCAUCAAGGACAUGUACAAUAAUGUUGUGACAAGUGUUCGAACAAGUGAUGUCGACACUGAUGACUUCCCGAUUAAGAUAGGACUACAUCAGGGGUCAGCUUUGAGCCCUUAUCUUUUUGCAUUGGUGAUGGAUGAGGUCACAAGGGGUAUACAAGGAGAUAUCCCAUGGUGCAUGCUCUUUGCGGAUGAUGUAGUGCUAGUUGAUGAUAGUCGGACGGGGGUAAAUAGGAAGUUAGAGUUAUGGAGACAAACCUUGGAAUUGAAAGGGUUUAGGCUUAGUAGAACUAAAACCGAGCACAUGAUGUGCGGUUUCAGUACUACUAGGUGUGAGGAGGAGGAGGUUAGCCUUGAUGGCCAGGUGGUACCUCGGAAGGACACCUUUCGGUAUUUGGGGUCAAUGUUGCAGGAGGAUGGGGGGAUUGAUGAAGAUGUGAACCAUCGUAUGAAAGCCAGAUGGAUGAAGUGGCGCCAAGCUUCUGGCAUUCUCUAUGACAAGAGAGUGCCACAAAAGCUAAAAGGCAAGUUCUAUAGGAUGGCGGUUCGACCCGCAAUGUUGUAUGGCGCGGAGUGUUGGCCGGCUAAAAGGCGACAUGUUCAACAGUUAGGUGUGGCGGAGAUGCGUAUGUUGAGAUGGAUGUGUGGCCACACGAGGAAGGAUCGAGUCCGGAAUGAUGAUAUACGAGAUGGAGUUGGGGUAGUACCAAUUGAGGAGAAGCUUGUCCAACAUCGUUGA